UUGAGAUGGCCUCGCGUCCGAUUAGCUAGUUGGUGAGGUAACGGCCCACCAAGGCGACGAUCGGUAGCCGGACUGAGAGGUUGAACGGCCACAUUGGGACUGAGACACGGCCCAGACUCCUACGGGAGGCAGCAGUGGGGAAUAUUGCACAAUGGGGGAAACCCUGAUGCAGCGACGCCGCGUGGAGGAAGAAGGUCUUCGGAUUGUAAACUCCUGUUGUUGAGGAAGAUAAUGACGGUACUCAACAAGGAAGUGACGGCUAACUACGUGCCAGCAGCCGCGGUAAAACGUAGGUCACAAGCGUUGUCCGGAAUUACUGGGUGUAAAGGGAGCGCAGGCGGGAAGACAAGUUGGAAGUGAAAUCCAUGGGCUCAACCCAUGAACUGCUUUCAAAACUGUUUUUCUUGAGUAGUGCA
This 416-nucleotide ribosomal RNA is filed under the name uncultured bacterium. RNAcentral's name for it is "bacterial SSU rRNA". It matches the Rfam family "Bacterial small subunit ribosomal RNA", at positions 220 to 653 of the family's 1533-position model. The record is from RNAcentral.